Molecule: ribosomal RNA, 500 nt
Filed under: uncultured bacterium
Lineage: Bacteria
Description: partial 16S ribosomal RNA
Rfam family: Bacterial small subunit ribosomal RNA
Source: RNAcentral
AUUGAACGCUGGCGGCAUGCCUUACACAUGCAAGUCGAACGGCAGCACGGGAGCAAUCCUGGUGGCGAGUGGCGAACGGGUGAGUAAAGUAUCGGAACGUGCCCAGUCGUGGGGGAUAACGUAGCGAAAGUUACGCUAAUACCGCAUACGAUCUACGGAUGAAAGCGGGGGAUCGCAAGACCUCGCGCGAUUUGAGCGGCCGAUAUCAGAUUAGGUAGUUGGUGGGGUAAAGGCUCACCAAACCGACGAUCUGUAGCUGGUCUGAGAGGACGACCAGCCACACUGGGACUGAGACACGGCCCAGACUCCUACGGGAGGCAGCAGUGGGGAAUUUUGGACAAUGGGCGCAAGCCUGAUCCAGCCAUGCCGCGUGCAGGAUGAAGGCCUUCGGGUUGUAAACUGCUUUUGUACGGAACGAAAAGGUUUGGCCUAAUAAGCUGGACCCAUGACGGUACCGUAAGAAUAAGCACCGGCUAACUACGUGCCAGCCGCCGCCGUAA